CCUACGGGAGGCAGCAGUGGGGAAUAUUGGACAAUGGGCGCAAGCNUGAUCCAGCCAGCCGCGUGUGUGAAGAAGGCCUUCGGGUUGUAAAGCACUUUCAGCGAGGAAGAACGCCUGUCGGUUAAUACCCGGCAGGAAAGACAUCACUCGCAGAAGAAGCCCCGGCUAACUCCGUGCCAGCAGCCGCGGUAAUACGGAGGGUGCAAGCGUUAAUCGGAAUUAUUGGGCGUAAAGCGCGCGUAGGUGGCUUGAUAAGCCGGUUGUGAAAGCCCCGGGCUCAACCUGGGAACGGCAUCCGGAACUGUCAGGCUAGAGUGCAGGAGAGGAAGGUAGAAUUCCCGGUGUAGCGGUGAAAUGCGUAGAGAUCGGGAGGAAUACCAGUGGCGAAGGCGGCCUUCUGGACUGACACUGACACUGAGGUGCGAAAGCGUGGGUAGCAAACAGGAUUAGAUACCCUGGUAGUCCACGCCGUAAACGAUGUCGACCAGCCGUUGGGUNCCUAGCGCCGUGGCGAANUAACGCAAUAAC
RNAcentral lists this ribosomal RNA (528 nucleotides) under uncultured bacterium. RNAcentral describes it as "bacterial SSU rRNA". It matches the Rfam family "Bacterial small subunit ribosomal RNA", at positions 338 to 864 of the family's 1533-position model. The record is from RNAcentral.